AGAGUUUGAUCCUGGCUCAGAUUGAACGCUGGCGGAAUGCUUUACACAUGCAAGUCGAACGGCAGCACGGGUGCUUGCACCUGGUGGCGAGUGGCGAACGGGUGAGUAACAUAUCGGAACGUAUCCAAUAAUGGGGGAUAACUAAUCGAAAGGUUGGCUAAUACCGCAUACGCCCUACGGGGGAAAGCAGGGGAUCGUCAAGACCUUGCGUUAAUGGAGCGGCCGAUAUCUGAUUAGCUAGUUGGUGGGGUAAAGGCCCACCAAGGCGACGAUCAGUAGCUGGUCUGAGAGGACGACCAGCCACACUGGAACUGAGACACGGUCCAGACUCCUACGGGAGGCAGCAGUGGGGAAUUUUGGACAAUGGGCGCAAGCCUGAUCCAGCCAUUCCGCGUGAGUGAAGAAGGCCUUCGGGUUGUAAAGCUCUUUCGCAAGGGAAGAAAACUUAUCUUCGAAUAAAGGAUGAGGCUGACGGUACCUUGAUAAGAAGCACCGGCUAACUACGUGCCAGCAGCCGCGGUAAUACGUAGGGUGCGAGCGUUAAUCGGAAUUACUGGGCGUAAAGCGUGCGCAGGCGGUUUUGUAAGUCAGAUGUGAAAUCCCCGGGCUCAACCUGGGAACUGCGUUUGAAACUACAAGGCUAGAGUAUGGCAGAGGGGGGUAGAAUUCCACGUGUAGCAGUGAAAUGCGUAGAGAUGUGGAGGAAUACCAAUGGCGAAGGCAGCCCCCUGGGUCAAUACUGACGCUCAUGCACGAAAGCGUGGGGAGCAAACAGGAUUAGAUACCCUGGUAGUCCACGCCCUAAACGAUGUCUACUAGUUGUUGGGAGAGUAAAAUCUCUUAGUAACGCAGCUAACGCGUGAAGUAGACCGCCUGGGGAGUACGGUCGCAAGAUUAAAACUCAAAGGAAUUGACGGGGGCCGCACAAGCGGUGGAUUAUGUGAUUAUUUCGAUGCAACGCGAAGAACCUUACCUACCCUUGACAUCCAGAGAUCUGUAGAGAUAG
This 1006-nucleotide ribosomal RNA is filed under the name uncultured bacterium. RNAcentral's name for it is "bacterial SSU rRNA". It matches the Rfam family "Bacterial small subunit ribosomal RNA", at positions 8 to 1007 of the family's 1533-position model. The record is from RNAcentral.